GAGAUUGCGGAUCUGUGGGCAGCCCUGUGGGCUUUUGUGGUUUAACCUUUGGCCAUCGGCGUUGGAUUCAAAAGAAAAAUCGCUUAAGAGUGGGAAGACAGGUGGCAAACACUGAGAGUUUAUAAAAUGGUAUUAACAUUUUAUUAUCCCAAGUCGCCUUCCAGGGCUCAGACCUCGAUCCAACCCGCUGUCGUGUCGGACAGUGAUGGGAGUACAGAUCUGUACCAACACUACCCCCUUGUGACUAGCUUGGCGGGCUGUGCCAGCGCAUCUCGGAAGACAUAUGCCUGACAGCUUCCCUUUUGCAGACGCACAAGUAACACUGUAUUACACAAGCCGGCAUCACCAGUGCAAUCCUUUCCGAUGGCAGGUACCUGGAUUUAGAUCUCAACGAAAUCUGCCCAACACGGCAUCCGUUAGUCUUGUGAGACCAUGGAUUUGCGCCUUGGAGGAUUUCCAGGGUGCAGGCCUGGGCAAGGUUGUAUGGAAGACAGGCAGUUGCCCAUGCUGUAAAUCUCCCCUCUCCACGCCACCGAUGUUGUCCAAGAGAAGGGCACUAGGGCUGAUACAGCUUGGCACCGGUGUCAUCGCAGAGCAAUGUGUGGUUAAGUGCCUUGCUCAAGGACACAACACGCUGCCUCAGCUGAGGCUUGAACUAGCGACCUUCAGAUCACUAGACUGACGCCACGCGCCAACAAUUUUUAAUUAUGAUGCUAUUUACAGGUGGCAGGGUGGAUAUACAUCUCUACCAAAGGAGGUGUAAGGUGUUACUUCCCUCGCUAGCCUGCAGCACCUGCUUAGCCCCCUUGAUCAGGGUCACAUGAAGCCAUGGGAGCAGGUGGCGGAUGGUCGUACGAGCAGCCGGUGCACAUCACAAGCCCUGGUUAUGAGACCACCGACACCAGGCAGACAAUCUCUGAAGAGUAUUGAUAAUGGCUGGGGUCACCCAUCUUGUAAAGACGCUGCCCAGAAGAAGGCACUGGCAAACCACUUCUGUAGAAGAUUUGCCAAGAACUAUCAUGGUCAAAGACCAGGAUCACCCACGCCAUAGGACAUGACACAUAAUGGUGAUGGUGGUGCUAUGUGCCUGUGAUGCUGAUGCAAGUAAGUUUCUCAUUGCACCCGUCCACACAUGUACUCGCAUAAGACAAUAAACUCAACUUUGAGACUUUGAGAUGCUGCCAGACCACACUGAGUUCCUCCUGCAGACUGUUUGCUCUCCAUAUUCUAGCAUCUCAGUCUCUGUGUCUCCCCUUACUGUGUAAUGUCCUAUGCCAUUCAGGUGGAUAGAGUGGUUAUGAAGGUGUAUGGUGAUUGGCAGAUUGAGAUCAAGAGCCACGAGGUAAUGUUGCAGCUCUA
Mobula hypostoma (lesser devil ray) is the source of this 1359-nucleotide long non-coding RNA. RefSeq lists it as uncharacterized. The transcript has 3 exons. Lineage: Eukaryota; Metazoa; Chordata; Chondrichthyes; Myliobatiformes; Myliobatidae. The record is from RefSeq and is a predicted model, not a curated record.